UUUCCGUAGGUGAACCUGCGGAAGGAUCAUUAACGAGUUAGGGUCUUCCAGGCCCGACCUCCCAACCCUAUGUUUAUUGAACCUCUGUUGCUUCGGCGGGCCCGUCUCACGGCCGCCGGGGGAGUCGCCGCGAGGCACCCUCUGGCCAGCGUCCGCCGAUGGCCAACCCCAAAACUCUGAAUGAAUCGUGUCAUGAUGUCUAAGUCUAUGAUUAAAUUAAAGCAAAACUUUCAACAACGGAUCUCUUGGUUCUG
Molecule: unclassified non-coding RNA, 254 nt
Filed under: plant metagenome
Description: partial contains small subunit ribosomal RNA, internal transcribed spacer 1, and 5.8S ribosomal RNA
Source: RNAcentral